GGGUGCCCAGUGAGUGUCUGAGAGAACCCCAACUCCAGACCCCAAAGUCUGCCCCGGCCCCGCGCUCGUCUCUGCCUCGUCGACUUUGUCUUAUACCACUGUCCCUUCCUUUUUCUCUGGGGGGUCCUUUUGGUCCCUCCCCUGCCUUUUCCCGCUCAGAAAGCCGAAUUUCGCAGAUUCUCAGCUCCGAGGAGAAAAUUUUGCCGGAAAUUAAAUCCUUCCUUCUGUUAGGCAGUAGUCGAUUGAUGGGAGGAGCUAAAAGUCACUUGGUGUCCUGACAAGAUGUGUUACUCUUUUGCUAAGAUCGUCAUCUCUAAUGCUUUGAGGGAGGUAACUUCUGCACACCUAGAACUUUCGGAUUACUACCGAGCUUGAAGAAUCUUAUUUUGGAAGAGACUUUUUGGUUUUUCUAGACAUUGGACUUCCAUGUACAGUUAAAUUUUCAAGAUAAUUUUGGAGACUAACAUGGAGCUUUUUACUUUCAUUUUUGCCAAGGUAAGUGCAAGAAAAUAUAAAACUGUCAUUCAUCACCACUACUAACAAAAAGGACAUCUUAACACCAAAUAAAUAGGAAAGUCAUAAAGACAGAGAAAAAGAAAUUUCAAUUCAAUUGGGUACGUUUACCCUUAUGAAAGUGUCGCUCACUGCAUGUUUCUUAUUUCUCUGAAUGUACCAGUGGCUAGUGGAAACCUUGACAUAGAGAAGCAACAUUCUUAGAAAAAGCAAAUGAAUAUUUGUCUCAGUCAACCACCUUCCACCAAUAUCCAGUGCUUGAAUUCAUCACAUUCUCCCAAGUGGCAGGGAGCCUCUGAUGUCUCACUUGGAAGAAUGUGAUUUCUCUUAGGUAUGUUUUAAUGACAGUCAUCACUGGGCUAUUUGAAAGUCUUGUGGGGACCUGCAGAGCAUAUGUUUAUUUAGUGAGAGGGUAGCACUAGCUGUAGCACGAGAUUGCUUUGGACAUUUAACCUUUUAUAGCUUAUGGCAUAAAAUUUCUCUACAUACCGAUUUUGAGUAUAAAAUACGAGGUAAUUUUAUGGUUUUUAAAUCUUUCUAAUUUGCUGGUCCCUUGAUUCCCAUCUCGGUAGGCCGCCAUUGUGAUCUCUAACAGGAAAACUGAAUAGAUUUGAAAUUAUUGUUUAUGUUGCUCUCUAUACAGACACAAUAAAAAAUAAUUUGUCUCUCAUUCUCUUGAAGAGACUAAAAUAUAUUUUUAAAAAUCUCACAGUAGCUGUUGAGAUGUGUGCUAGCUUGAUGAACUUGUGCUGAAUAUGGAAAUGCUCUUCCAGGCCAAGGAAAUCUCAAAGAAAAUUAUCACCUUAAAAAGGUAAUGUUAACACUGCAGCACAUUUAAAUUUCCUCAGGUAUCACCAGUCUGAAGGUACAAGAGGAGAGUAACAUCAACGGUAAUAAUUCACAUUCCACUGACUCUUGCCCCCACUGAUUUAUAGACAAACUUCUCAUUUGUUUCUGGGCAGUCCAGGGUGUGUUUGCAAAGUGCCCGAACAGUUCUGGGAGGUUUUCCUAUGGUCCCCAUCAGAAGGCAGGGCUGAGACUUCCCUGGCCGUCCUGUGGUUAAGACUUCACCUUCCAGUGCAGGGGCUGCAGGUUCGAUCCUUGGUAGGGGAGCUAAGAUCCCACAUGCCUCGGGGCCAAAAAACCAAAACAGAAAACAGAAGCAAUAUUGUAAUAAAUUCAGUAAAGACUAAAAAGUAAAAAAAUGAAAAGGCAAUGCUGCUUCUUCCCAGCCAUGGGCUUUGGCACAACGUGCCCCACAAGUCAGCUGAGCCUCAGCGGCGGGUGCACGGUAGGCUGGUGCUGAGGUUCCUGCUGCACAUAUGGAAAACAUGGUCCCUUCUGUGUAAUUGCAGUUCCAGCUCUAGGUAACCAACCCAUGCUCUUAUUUUUAUGUUAAGGCUUAUUUUUAUUUUAGAAAAACUUCUUUCAUUAGUAGUGGCAUGAAAUAUAUGAAGAUUAUGUUUGGAAUCAAGCACUUGAAUUCACUCCUUCCUUCAGUGAAUAUGUAUUGAACCCUAGUAUAUGCCAGGCAGUGUUCUACAUGCUGGGGAUAAAUGAUAAAACAAAUUAAGCCCCUGCCCUCAAGGAGAGUAACAAUAACCAAAUUAACAUUGAGUUCAUGAUGCCAGCUCAUUUCUGCAAAUAUAACAUCUUGAUUUCCAGCAAGUUUUCUGAGAUUCUGAUCUAAAGAAUUGCUACCUUCAAUAGCACAAAUCAUUUGAGGGGGAGAGGGGCCAGUUAUGUAUUUCCUCUUUUAUAAUUAAAGUAACUGUAAAAAGAGGAGGAGAGUUCUGAGGGUAAAGGCAGAGAGUGUUGCAAUCUUGCUAGAUUUCACAUUGAGUCUCUCACUCUGAUUGAUGACAUUUACACUCCGUGCAACUCCUUACCUAGAUCUUCGCCAGGACUUGACAAUUCAGGACACUAUAGACUAGUUUACUUUCUAAUGCAUUUUAUGUCAUUUGGAAGCCCUUCAGUGCCCAAAUACUAUAUACUAUGUUUGCAACUUACUUUGAAAUGUAUCAGAAAAUAAGAUGGAUUAAUGUAUGAUAGAGGGAUGCAUAGAUGGUUAGGUAUGUAAUAAAGCAAAUAUAACAAUGUUAACUGUAGAGUCCAGGUGACAGGUAUACGUAUAAUUAGGUCACUGGAUAGGUCAUGGUAUAAUUCUUUUAAGUUCUCUGUGUUUGAACAUUUAUGUAGUAAAAUAUUGAAUAAAAAUCUCUUUACUAGACUGAAGAUUUAUACUUUUUAGUUCACAUUAUGGAAUUAAAAUUUUGUGAAGACAAUAUUUAAAUUACCUUUCAAUAAAAUUGUCUUCAUUAAUGGACAUGGAUUAAUUUUUCUUAACAUGGAUGAAUUUUUAAAUGUUUUUAAAAAACACUGGGGGGAGGGGGAAUUGGAGAAAGAUGGUCAAAAGGUACAAACUUUCAGUUAUAAGAUAACUAAGUACUAGGGAUGUGCUGUACAACAUGAUGACUAUAGCUGACACUGCUGUAUGACAUACAGGAAAGUUGUUAGGAGAGUCAUCUAAGAGCUUUCCUAAGAGCUCUCAUCUCAAGGAGAAAAUUGUUUUCUUUUUAUUGAACCUAUGAGAUGAUAGAUGUCACUUGAACCUAUUGUAGUAAUCGUUUCACAAUAUAUGUAAAUCAAGCCAUCAUGCUGUCUGCCUUAAACCUGUACAGCAAUGUUUGUCAAUUAUUUCUCAAAAAACUGGGGUGGGGGGAAGCACUUCCAUGUUUCUUUUUAGAAAGUUUAUACAAUGGGAAUGUGAAAUUGCUGUAUGAUUUUUUUGUUUUAAAAAGACAUGUCUUCCUAGAAUAUCUAUUUUACAUACUCAGGCAAUUGUUAACAAGUUUAACUAUUAAUAAAUUCACUUCUUAAAAUAAAAUCAGAGAGGCAACUGUUUGACAACUGCUGAAAAUACUUUUUCUUAGAGGAGCUGUAUUGGUCAGGGUUCAAAGCAGAGAACAAAAUCUACUCUAAAGUAAUUUAAGCCAAAAGGGAUUUAUUACAUGGUCUAUUACAAAUGGUUGGCAGGAUUGCAAAAACAGCCUGCCGGCUAAGCUUCAGGAGUGACUCACAAAUCCAGGCUAUAGAACCGAGCUGUCAAGGGACUGUUGUUCAGGCCAUUCUCGAAGUCCACCUGUUGAAUGGGGAAGCCACCCCUACAGCUACUGGUUCCACAGCCAUAUGUCCUUCACUACAAUACACCCUGUCACGAAGAUGCCGCAUAAACUGCUCCUCCCCCACUUAGUUCACUCUACACAAGUGCCUCUAGUGGUGGAAUUUAUAUCACAUCAAUAACUCUAGCUGCAAGGGAAUUUGAGAAAUGCAUUUUUAGCCUUCUAGAUACUAAAGCCCAAGAAGGCAUGUUAAGAAGAGGGUGGCAUUAAAUGAAAGACUGUUGGAGACUUUUUGAUGAACAAAUCAGCCUGACAGCGCUCACUGAUCAACAUUACCAUUGAGUGUCUACAUUACUAAACACUAUAGCCCUUCUGCUGGGUGUAAUGAGUAAAUGGCAGCACCUAUGAAGCCUUCUUGCCCAAAACAUCAAACCUGAAUCUGAGAAAGCCACCAGAUCCAACUAUCAAGUUUACAAGAACUAGAGGGAUAGAGGCACAUGUUACCACCACCACAGGGGUGCAAUUAGCAAAAUCCAGUGUGGGAAACUUUAUAGGACAAAUGACACAGUUCAACAAAUAAAUGGAAAGGGGAAAAAAAAGGGAGGGGAACCUAAAAUUAAGAAAUUUAAGAAGUGUAUCAAGUAAAUGCAGUGUGUGAAUCUUGUAUGGAUCUUGAUUCAAACAAAACAAUUGUCAAAAACAUUUUAUAAGACUCAGGGAAAUUUGAACAUGUAUAAUACUUGGAAAAUUGAUCAUAUUAAAGAAUUAUUAAUUUUUUUAGAUGCGA
Molecule: long non-coding RNA, 4422 nt
Organism: Aethalodelphis obliquidens (Pacific white-sided dolphin)
Lineage: Eukaryota; Metazoa; Chordata; Mammalia; Artiodactyla; Delphinidae
Exons: 2
Source: RefSeq, a predicted model, not a curated record